GAAUAAGAUAUAUUUUGUAUAAAUAAUAAAAUUUGCAAGGUGCUUCUUAUCUGUGAGUGAUAGAUCACAGAAAUGAGGAAGAUUAUUCAAAUGAAUUAAAAUAAAACAUAGUUUUCUGGCUCUUUUUUUUUUUUUUUUUUUUUUUUUUUUUUUUUUUACUUUGGAACCUAAACCAAACUAAUUUACAAAGAGAUCUUUUUAUUUUACUGCCUUUGUUAUACCUCUACAGGGACAGUUGUAUAGAUAACAGGAGAAAGUAUGACACAGUUCUAGUAAAGAGAUAGCAAUACUUUUCACAAUCCAAGUCAGAUACGUAUUUACAGUUCUCCCUACUCCUGCACUCUUGCUAGUCAUUCUUACAUCUGGAUUUUGACCCUUCUUUUGCAUACAUUUUUCCCACCUCCAAAAUAUGCUGCUGUUGAGCCAGAAAAUAAACAUUCACUAAAAUCUCAAAUUAAGCUUCCCCGAAUGAAUUGUGGAGGGACUUGAUCCUGCACUCACUGAAAUACAUACAAGUUUUAUUCACAGAUCACACAAGCAAAUGAGACAAGGAGCCUUAUGUUCAUAAUACCUGGGCAACCUCCAGAGCUGCAAAGCUGGAGCCUUUCUUUGAGAAAAAAAGAAAAGGCAGGAAGUCCCAGGCCACCUUCUACGCACAAGAAUAACAGGAGUGGAAGAAAGGUCGAAUGCAGCAGAAAUGACAAGAAUGGAUUUCAGAAGAGAACACUGAAGAAGAAUUACCCCGAACAUAAUAUGCUGGCCAGAAAAGCACAACUGAUAGCUGCCAAGACCAUUGUGGAACUAAAAUGCUAGCCGUGGUCAAAGCAAAUUAAAAUUUAUUAAGGGACCCUCACGUAUAAUUUUAACACAGCAGGAUUAUACUACCAGCUCUGCAAAGGGAGAUUUAGUCAGGUAAUUCUCGUUAAGGGGCAAACCCCUCUGACUUCUGUAAGUACUUUGCCUGAUGAAGCACUGAAGAACCAGGCCCUAAGGUUGGCACAGCUGAGCUCUAACCUGUCUGCCUUUACACAAGCAACAGCUUCACAUAUCAGCUCCAGCUCAUGCAGAGGAGUCUUACUAGGCACUCUAAUCCUAAGGGGAAACAUUUCAUUGCAAUGCACAGCAAUUUGCAUUCUUUCACAAAACUCUGCUAUUACAUUAUCCAUUUUUCUCUUGAUUAAAAGAGAUCAAGAAGUGCACACUCUCACACUACGCAUGCAGGCUUUCCAUACAGGAGGCCUGGAAUCUACAUUCAAAUUCAGACUGGAGGAGAUCUGGCAACUUCUAGCUCUUUAUGGAUUUAUGCUGUUCUAAUAACAGUCACAAAUUACUGAUAAUUAUUAAGGAGGGAAGUUACUGUGGUGGGGUUUUGAUGUUGUUGAGUUUCUAAGACAUUCAAGUGUAUCAAGACAUUUCAGAAGUAUCCAGUGCCAAGGAGUUCUUAAGCACUGCAAGCCCUCUGAGCUUGUGCAGAUGCUUUUGAUUUUCCUCACUGCAGGUCAACCUAUGGUGUUAGUUACUGGUAGGAGCAGAUGGAACUGAAGCUACGUUGGCACAAAGAAACUUUCAGAAAGUAGGCACAAAUUUAUCCAAGUGUUUUGAGGUUUAAGUCCUACAAUUAGGGUUUAUGUUACACGGUCCAUUCUAACACCUUCCUCCUAGGAGUGUCCUGGGAAAAUAACCAAGGACAUAAUCAAAAAGGACACCUAUGAUGCAUGCAGCAGCGUGAACUAUUGCAUCCCCUCCACCCAUAAGCACUAAGAAGAUCAGAACACAUUGAACAAGAGUCAAUCUCUGCUCCAUGAAUGACCUUUUACAGGAAUUUGGAUUUCUCUGUACUGCAGUGUUUCAUGAAUAAAACAUGGCACUUCUUUGCCUAGAAGGAAACA
RNAcentral lists this long non-coding RNA (1889 nucleotides) under Numida meleagris (helmeted guineafowl). RNAcentral's name for it is "lncRNA (ENSNMEG00000017728.1)". The record is from RNAcentral. Lineage: Eukaryota; Metazoa; Chordata; Aves; Galliformes; Numididae.